RNAcentral lists this unclassified non-coding RNA (348 nucleotides) under soil metagenome. RNAcentral describes it as "partial contains 5.8S ribosomal RNA, internal transcribed spacer 2, and large subunit ribosomal RNA". The stretch from base 1 to 120 matches the Rfam family "5.8S ribosomal RNA", at positions 35 to 154 of the family's 154-position model. The record is from RNAcentral.
GAUGAAGAACGUAGCGAAAUGCGAUAAGUAAUGUGAAUUGCAGAAUUCAGUGAAUCAUCGAAUCUUUGAACGCACAUUGCGCCCGCCAGUAUUCUGGCGGGCAUGCCUGUCUGAGCGUCAUUUCAACCCUCAUGCCCCUAGGGCGUGGUGUUGGGGAUCGGCCAAAGCCCGCGAGGGACGGCCGGCCCCUAAAUCUAGUGGCGGACCCGUCGUGGCCUCCUCUGCGAAGUAGUGAUAUUCCGCAUCGGAGAGCGAUGAGCCCCUGCCGUUAAACCCCCAACUUUCCAAGGUUGACCUCAGAUCAGGUAGGAAUACCCGGUGAACUUAAGCAUAUCAAUAAGCGGAGGA